GUUAACUCUGUGCCAGCAGCCGCGGUAAUACAGAGGGUGCAAGCGUUAAUCGGAGUUACUGGGCGUAAAGGGCGCGUAGGUGGUUGCGUAAGUGAGAUGUGAAAUCCCUGGGCUUAACCUAGGAACUGCAUCUUAUACUGCGUAGCUUGAGUACUGUAGAGGGUAGUGGAAUUUCCGGUGUAGCGGUGAAAUGCGUAGAGAUCGGAAGGAACACCAGUGGCGAAGGCGGCUACCUGGACAGAUACUGACACUGAGGCGCGAGAGCGUGGGGAGCAAACAGGAUUAGAUACCCCGGUAGUC
RNAcentral lists this ribosomal RNA (300 nucleotides) under uncultured Legionella sp. Its description in RNAcentral is "bacterial SSU rRNA". It matches the Rfam family "Bacterial small subunit ribosomal RNA", at positions 496 to 795 of the family's 1533-position model. The record is from RNAcentral. Lineage: Bacteria; Pseudomonadati; Pseudomonadota; Gammaproteobacteria; Legionellales; Legionellaceae.